RNAcentral lists this ribosomal RNA (253 nucleotides) under uncultured bacterium. RNAcentral describes it as "partial 16S ribosomal RNA". It matches the Rfam family "Bacterial small subunit ribosomal RNA", at positions 524 to 776 of the family's 1533-position model. The record is from RNAcentral.
UACGGAGGGUGCAAGCGUUGUCCGGAUUUAUUGGGUUUAAAGGGUGCGUAGGCGGUUCUUUAAGUCCGGGGUGAAAGCCCACUGCUCAACAGUGGAACUGCCCUGGAAACUGGAGAACUUGAGUACAGACGAGGGCGGCGGAAUGGAUGGUGUAGCGGUGAAAUGCAUAGAUACCAUCCAGAACCCCGAUUGCGAAGGCAGCUGCCUAGACUGUAACUGACGCUGAGGCACGAAAGCGUGGGGAGCGAACAGG